CCUACGGGAGGCAGCAGUGGGGAAUUUUGGACAAUGGGCGAAAGCCUGAUCCAGCCAUUCCGCGUGAGUGAAGAAGGCCUUCGGGUUGUAAAGCUCUUUCGCAAGGGAAGAAACGAUGCAGUCGAAUAAACUGUGUUAAUGACGGUACCUUGAUAAGAAGCACCGGCUAACUACGUGCCAGCAGCCGCGGUAAUACGUAGGGUGCAAGCGUUAAUCGGAAUUACUGGGCGUAAAGCGUGCGCAGGCGGUUUUGUAAGUCAGAUGUGAAAUCCCCGAGCUCAACUUGGGAACUGCGUUUGAAACUACAAGACUAGAAUAUGUCAGAGGGGGGUAGAAUUCCACGUGUAGCAGUGAAAUGCGUAGAGAUGUGGAGGAAUACCAAUGGCGAAGGCAGCCCCCUGGGAUAAUAUUGACGCUCAUGCACGAAAGCGUGGGGAGCAAACAGGAUUAGAUACCCUGGUAGUCCACGCCCUAAACGAUGUCUACUAGUUGUUGGUGGAGUAAAAUCCAUGAGUAACGCAGCUAACGC
RNAcentral lists this ribosomal RNA (529 nucleotides) under uncultured bacterium. RNAcentral's name for it is "bacterial SSU rRNA". It matches the Rfam family "Bacterial small subunit ribosomal RNA", at positions 338 to 858 of the family's 1533-position model. The record is from RNAcentral.